Molecule: ribosomal RNA, 497 nt
Filed under: uncultured bacterium
Lineage: Bacteria
Description: partial 16S ribosomal RNA
Rfam family: Bacterial small subunit ribosomal RNA
Source: RNAcentral
GACGAACGCUGGCGGCGUGCGUAAUACAUGCAAGUUGAGCGCUGACGGCUGGUCCUUUUACCAACUGGUUGAUCAGCGAACGGGUCAGUCACGCGUGGUGAAUCUGCCUUUGCGCGGGGGACACCAUUUGGAAACGAUUGCUUCUACCGCAUAAUAACUUUAAACACAAGUUUUCAGUUUGAAAGAUGCAAUUGCAUCACUCAAAGAUGAUCCCGCGUUGUAUUAGCUAGUUGGUGAGGUAAAGGCACAACAAGGCGAGGAUCCAUAGCCGACCAGAAAGGGUGAUCGGCCACAGUGGGACUGGAACACGGCCCAAACCACUAGGGGAGGCAGCAGUAGGGAAUCUUCGGCAAAGGCAGAAAGUGGGACCGAGCAACGCCGCGCGAGUGAAGAAGGUUGUCGGAUCGUGAAACUCUGUUGGGAGAGAAGAACGUAGGUGAGAGUGGAAAGCUCAGCAAGUGACGGUAACGACACAGAAAGGGACGGCUAACUACGUG